AGAGUUUGAUCAUGGCUCAGGAUGAACGCUAGCGGCAGGCUUAAUACAUGCAAGUCGAGGGGCAGCAUGAGUGUAGCAAUACAUUUGAUGGCGACCGGCAAACGGGUGCGGAACACGUACACAACCUUCCUAUAAGUGGGGAAUAGCCCAGAGAAAUUUGGAUUAAUACCCCGUAACAUAAUGAUGUGGCAUCACAUUAUUAUUAUAGCUACGGCGCUUAUUGAUGGGUGUGCGGCUGAUUAGAUAGUUGGCGGGGUAACGGCCCACCAAGUCUACGAUCAGUAGCUGAUGUGAGAGCAUGAUCAGCCACACGGGCACUGAGACACGGGCCCGACUCCUACGGGAGGCAGCAGUAAGGAAUAUUGGUCAAUGGACGCAAGUCUGAACCAGCCAUGCCGCGUGAAGGAUUAAGGUCCUCUGGAUUGUAAACUUCUUUUAUCUGGGACGAAAAAAGGCUAUUCUUAGUCACUUGACGGUACCAGAUGAAUAAGCACCGGCUAACUCCGUGCCAGCAGCCGCGGUAAUACGGAGGGUGCAAGCGUUAUCCGGAUUCACUGGGUUUAAAGGGUGCGUAGGCGGGCAGGUAAGUCAGUGGUGAAAUCCUGGAGCUUAACUCCAGAACUGCCAUUGAUACUAUCUGUCUUGAAUAUUGUGGAGGUAAGCGGAAUAUGUCAUGUAGCGGUGAAAUGCUUAGAUAUGACAUAGAACACCUAUUGCGAAGGCAGCUUACUACGCAUAUAUUGACGCUGAGGCACGAAAGCGUGGGGAUCAAACAGGAUUAGAUACCCCGGUAGUCC
This 797-nucleotide ribosomal RNA is filed under the name uncultured bacterium. RNAcentral describes it as "bacterial SSU rRNA". It matches the Rfam family "Bacterial small subunit ribosomal RNA", at positions 8 to 796 of the family's 1533-position model. The record is from RNAcentral.